GCCCAGCUAGCUCAGUUGGUAGAGCACUUCCAUGGUAAGGAAGGGGUCUCCGGUUCGAGUCCGGAGCUGGGCU
RNAcentral lists this transfer RNA (73 nucleotides) under Actinomycetes bacterium. Its description in RNAcentral is "Actinobacteria bacterium tRNA-Thr". It matches the Rfam family "tRNA". Rfam says of the family: Transfer RNA (tRNA) molecules are approximately 80 nucleotides in length. The record is from RNAcentral. RNAcentral also lists the same sequence under 2 other names. Lineage: Bacteria; Bacillati; Actinomycetota; Actinomycetes.